This 229-nucleotide long non-coding RNA is filed under the name Lathyrus oleraceus (garden pea). Its description in RNAcentral is "Pisum sativum (pea) long non-coding RNA (PSAT_LNC018025)". The record is from RNAcentral. Lineage: Eukaryota; Viridiplantae; Streptophyta; Magnoliopsida; Fabales; Fabaceae.
GGGUAGAGACAACACCGGUUGUAGUAGUUGUUUGUUGAGAAGAAAUGGGUAGUUGUUCCGUUGAUUCCAUUUGCUGAGAGUAGUUAUAGAUGGAUUGUUGCUGGGAAUCCAUGAGAAGGUUUGAUGAAGUAGAUAAAGAUGAUGAGCUUUGAUGAACUUUGAGGAGCUUUGAAAAAGAAGAGGGGGUUUGUGUAGGUUGUGAGUGUAAAGUGUGAAUUUUUGAAUUGUG